Long non-coding RNA from Rhipicephalus sanguineus (brown dog tick), 1046 nucleotides. RefSeq lists it as uncharacterized. Lineage: Eukaryota; Metazoa; Arthropoda; Arachnida; Ixodida; Ixodidae. The transcript has 4 exons. The record is from RefSeq and is a predicted model, not a curated record.
GUUUUCUUUUUUUUCUUUGUCACAGCGCUGAGGGGCGGGGGGGGGGAGCAAGCUCCAUGCGUCAGUUCCCGCCAAAUUGUAGCUCUUUCGAGCGAGGAGGUGCUGAAACACUGCACAGAGACGGGCAAGCACUCAGAGGCAUUUCGUUUGCCUUGAUCCUGGAGGCGGCCUUCUCCCAUUGCUGAGGAUUUGAAGCGAACUCCUGGCAGAUCAGAAAUGUUCAGGCGAACGGCGGUUAUAUUUGUCCGUGGACCCAAGACUUCGUUGACGGGCAAAUAUGUCAGAUUUUCUUGUUUUUUAUUUGUGGCAUCUUAUUGUAAGACCGUGACAUAUCUUGCCGUUUUCUCUAGGGAACCCUGCAACAAGGACUGUAGUGUGAAUAGCGUGCUGCGCUGCUCUCGCCAACUGAAAAGAACUCUGGUGUGCUGUAAAUGCCGACUGCACAAUAUGUGACUGGCCCGCGGCUGCUUUGAAGGUAAGAUUGUGUUCUCAUUAUUCUAUUUAUUGUACCAUUUGUUUUCCAGUGACAUAGCCAACAACGAAAUCCAUCCUCUCUCCACAUAUUAUCUAGUCUGUGCGCUGUGGAGCUUGAAGCACUUCUCGGAAUUUCAGCACACUCGCAUUUAUUUUUUUCCCGACAGAAGAAAAAUGCAAGUCUAACAUCUCGACGGUAAAACGUCGCAUCUGCGCACAGGGCCAAGAGCACGAGAAGUGGCCGAAAGAAGGGAACCGAUCCAACAGGAAUGCCGUCCGUCUUUAUAUUUAUAUAUGUCAGCGUUAUCAUGCCGUGAUCACAUGGACUGUACGGUUGCGUUGCACAAGGGCUGAUGCAAACGCUCCGUGCGAACAAUGUUGCAUGGAAAAUUAGUGCAUCUAUACAAUUGCAAAAUAAAGAUCUAAAGAGAGAAAACUUAUAUUCACGUCUUUCUUUUAUUGCGUGUUACGUAUUAACACGUUAACAAGUGCAGACCCUUAGAGGCGUUUAAUUCCGUCUUACAUGUGCACUCUGCCCGUAAUUAAUUCAGAUAGAGUUAAACGCCUCUAUA